AUACUUACCUGGACGGGGUCGAUGGGUGAUCAAGAAGGCCCAUGACUUAGGUUGGUGACCUCCAUUGCACUGAGGAGGGGUGCCCGCCUAACAUCUCCCCAAGUGGGAGAGUGUACGUCAUAAUUUGUGGCAGCAGGGGGGUACGCGUUCGCGCGGCCCCUAC
RNAcentral lists this small nuclear RNA (163 nucleotides) under Nelumbo nucifera (sacred lotus). RNAcentral's name for it is "U1 spliceosomal RNA". It matches the Rfam family "U1 spliceosomal RNA". Rfam says of the family: U1 is a small nuclear RNA (snRNA) component of the spliceosome (involved in pre-mRNA splicing). Its 5' end forms complementary base pairs with the 5' splice junction, thus defining the 5' donor site of an intron. The record is from Rfam by way of RNAcentral. Lineage: Eukaryota; Viridiplantae; Streptophyta; Magnoliopsida; Proteales; Nelumbonaceae.